This 520-nucleotide ribosomal RNA is filed under the name uncultured delta proteobacterium. RNAcentral describes it as "bacterial SSU rRNA". It matches the Rfam family "Bacterial small subunit ribosomal RNA", at positions 30 to 523 of the family's 1533-position model. Lineage: Bacteria; Deltaproteobacteria. The record is from RNAcentral.
AGCGAACGCUGGCGGCGUGCUUAACACAUGCAAGUCGUGCGGGAAAGGGGGGCUUCGGCCCCUGAGUAGAGCGGCGCACGGGUGCGUAAGACGCGGGUGACCUAUCCGAGAGGCGGGGAUAACCCUUCGAAAGAGGGGCUAAUACCGGAUGGGCCCACGAGCAGAGAUGCUUGGGGGCAAAGGGUGCUGCUUGAUAGUGGCAUCCCCUUCUGGAGGGGCCCCACGGCCUAUCAGCUAGUUGGUAAGGUAAUGGCUUACCAAGGCGAAGACGGGUAGCUGGUCUGAGAGGAUGGCCAGCCACACGGGGACUGAGACACGGCCCCGACUCCUACGGGAGGCAGCAGUGGGGAAUAUUGGGCAAUGGCGCAAGCCUGACCCAGCGACGCCGCGUGGGUGAUGAAGGCCUUCGGGUCGUAAAGCCCUGUCGGGUGGAAAGAAUGACCUCGGUGUGAAUAGCACUGAGGUGUGACGGUACCACCGAAGGAAGCACCGGCCAAUUCCGUGCCAGCAGCCGCGGUAA